UUCCUGGUUGUCCAGUGGUUAGGAAUCUGCCUUCCAAUGCAGAGGACACAGGUUCAAUCCCUGGCCGGGAAA
Molecule: non-coding RNA, 72 nt
Organism: Bos taurus (domestic cattle)
Lineage: Eukaryota; Metazoa; Chordata; Mammalia; Artiodactyla; Bovidae
Source: Rfam